GUGCCAGCCGCCGCGGUAAUACGGAGGGUGCAAGCGUUGUCCGGAAUCACUGGGCGUAAAGGGUGUGCAGGCGGGGCAGCAAGUCGGAUGUGAAAGCCCGUGGCUCAACCACGGAAGCGCCUUCGAUACUGCAGCUCUUGAGUCCCGGAGAGGCUGUCGGAAUUCGUGGUGUAGCGGUGAAAUGCGUAGAUAUCACGAGGAACACCAGAGGCGUAAGCGGACAGCUGGACGGGUACUUACGCUCAGGCGCGAAAGCGAGGGGAGCAAACAGGAUUAGAAACCCGAGUAGUCC
This 292-nucleotide ribosomal RNA is filed under the name uncultured bacterium. Its description in RNAcentral is "partial 16S ribosomal RNA". It matches the Rfam family "Bacterial small subunit ribosomal RNA", at positions 505 to 796 of the family's 1533-position model. The record is from RNAcentral.